This 440-nucleotide ribosomal RNA is filed under the name uncultured bacterium. RNAcentral's name for it is "partial 16S ribosomal RNA". It matches the Rfam family "Bacterial small subunit ribosomal RNA", at positions 338 to 795 of the family's 1533-position model. The record is from RNAcentral.
CCUACGGGAGGCUGCAGUAGGGAAUAUUGCUCAAUGGGGGAAACCCUGAAGCAGCAACGCCGCGUGGAGGAUGAAGGUUUUCGGAUUGUAAACUCCUUUUGUUAGAGAAGAUAAUGACGGUAUCUAACGAAUAAGCACCGGCUAAAUCCGUGCCAGCAGCCGCGGUAAUACGGAGGGUGCAAGCGUUACUCGGAAUCACUGGGCGUAAAGAGCGCGGAGGCGGGAUAGUAAGUCAGAUGUGAAAUCCUAUGGCUUAACCAUAGAACUGCAUUUGAAACUGUUAUUCUAGAGUGUGGGAGAGGUAGGUGGAAUUCUUGGUGUAGGGGUAAAAUGCGUAGAGAUCAAGAGGAAUACUCAUGGCGAAGGCGACCUGCUAGAAGAUAACUGACGCUGAGGCGCGAAAGCGUGGGGAGCAAACAGGAUUAGAUACCCCUGUAGUC